RNAcentral lists this ribosomal RNA (253 nucleotides) under uncultured bacterium. Its description in RNAcentral is "partial 16S ribosomal RNA". It matches the Rfam family "Bacterial small subunit ribosomal RNA", at positions 524 to 776 of the family's 1533-position model. The record is from RNAcentral.
UACAGAGGUCUCAAGCGUUGUUCGGAUUUAUUGGGCGUAAAGGGCGCGUAGGCGGCGGGGUAAGUCGGGUGUGAAAUCUCCGGGCUUAACCCGGAAACUGCCAUUGAUACUAUUCGUCUUGAAUGUUGUGGAGGUAAGCGGAAUAUGUCAUGUAGCGGUGAAAUGCUUAGAUAUGACAUAGAACACCGAUAGCGUAGGCAGCUUACUACACAAAUAUUGACACUGAGGCACGAAAGCGUGGGGAUCAAACAGG